CAUUAUAUUAUUUAGUUCUAGGAAUUAUAUUAUGACAUUGUCUUUUGAAAGAGUUUCUUUAUUCUUCUUUGCAGUGUUUCUAACUGGUCUGUUGAAAACCUCUUUUUUAUAGGGAGGUCAGGGUUGAACUUUGUUUAGAGGACAAUGCCUCGGAAGAGUUUGUCAUAGGCUCCAGAAGGGAUGAUGGAAAGGUGUAUGCAGGCUGUGGUUCCUGGAUUAAUGAAAAAGCCUGGGGAUGUUUGUUCAGCGCUUCUACGGACUCUAUGUUCUCUAGAAGUGCUGCUACUGUAUUUUGGACCGCCGAACAACUGAAAACCAGGAGUGUCACUGGAACACUUUCGAACAAGGCACGGCAUCUUGGUUCCACUGAGGCAAAGCCAGCGCUGACACCAGAGAAAGUAUCUUCUCUAAAGGUAUUGUUCGCCAUCUACAUGGGUGACAUGCCAAAGGAGGUGUCGGACUAGAGAAUGAAGGCGACUGAAAACACUUGUCGCAGAAGCUUGGCGAUAUGCAGCGGCGGUGAACUCUC
Long non-coding RNA from Dermacentor silvarum, 529 nucleotides. RefSeq lists it as uncharacterized. The transcript has 3 exons. The record is from RefSeq and is a predicted model, not a curated record. NCBI's taxonomy places the organism in Eukaryota, Metazoa, Arthropoda, Arachnida, Ixodida, Ixodidae.